CCCCUAGAUGUUCUGGGCCGCACGCGCGCUACACUGAACAGUUCAACAAGUCUUAACCUUGGCCGAUAGGUCUGGGUAAUCUUUGAACGCUGUUCGUGAUUGGGAUAGACCUUUGCAAUUAUGGGUCUUCAACGAGGAAUUCCUAGUAAACGCAAUUCAUCAGCUUGCAUUGAUUACGUCCCUGCCCUUUGUACACACCGCCCGUCGCACCUACCGAUUGAAUGGUCCGGUGAAAUCUCGGGACGGCGGCUUGGUCGCUUGCGUCCGACUGCUGAAACUUGAUUAAACCAUAUCAUUUAGAGGAAGGUGAAGUCGUANCA
This 320-nucleotide ribosomal RNA is filed under the name uncultured eukaryote. Its description in RNAcentral is "partial 18S ribosomal RNA". It matches the Rfam family "Eukaryotic small subunit ribosomal RNA", at positions 1470 to 1796 of the family's 1831-position model. The record is from RNAcentral.